UACGGAGGGUGCAAGCGUUAUUCGGAAUUACUGGGCGUAAAGCGCACGUAGGUGGCUGAGUAAGUCGAUUGUGAAAGCCCUGGGCUUAACCUGGGAAUUGCAGUCGAUACUACUCAGCUAGAGUAUGGGAGAGGGUAGUGGAAUUCCCGGUGUAGCGGUGAAAUGCGUAGAUAUCGGGAGGAACAUCAGUGGCGAAGGCGGCUACCUGGCCCAAUACUGACACUCAGGUGCGACAGCGUGGGGAGCAAACAGG
Molecule: ribosomal RNA, 253 nt
Filed under: uncultured bacterium
Lineage: Bacteria
Description: partial 16S ribosomal RNA
Rfam family: Bacterial small subunit ribosomal RNA
Source: RNAcentral